UUAAGUUCAGCGGGUAUUCCUACCUGAUCCGAGGUCAACCAUUGAUAAGUUUGGGGGGUUUAACGGCUGUGGCCGUCGCCGCGCUCCAGGAUGCGAGUUUUGCAAGCUACUGCGCAUAGGAGGCUGCGGCAAGGCCGCCACUGUAUUUCGGGGGCGGCAGCGCUGCGGACAGCGGGCCGGUCCCCAACACCGAUCCCCCG
This 200-nucleotide unclassified non-coding RNA is filed under the name Nectriopsis sp. RNAcentral's name for it is "partial internal transcribed spacer 2". Lineage: Eukaryota; Fungi; Ascomycota; Sordariomycetes; Hypocreales; Bionectriaceae. The record is from RNAcentral.